UGGAGGAGUAGCGAAGUCUGGCUAAACGCGGCGGACCGUAAAUCCGCUCCUUCGGGUUCGAUGGUUCAAAUCCAUUCUCCUCCAU
RNAcentral lists this transfer RNA (85 nucleotides) under Philodulcilactobacillus myokonensis. RNAcentral's name for it is "tRNA-Tyr". It matches the Rfam family "tRNA". From Rfam's summary of the family: Transfer RNA (tRNA) molecules are approximately 80 nucleotides in length. Their secondary structure includes four short double-helical elements and three loops (D, anti-codon, and T loops). Further hydrogen bonds mediate the characteristic L-shaped molecular structure. tRNAs have two regions of fundamental functional importance: the anti-codon, which is responsible for specific mRNA codon recognition, and the 3' end, to which the tRNAs corresponding amino acid is attached (by aminoacyl-tRNA synthetases). tRNAs cope with the degeneracy of the genetic code in two manners: having more than one tRNA (with a specific anti-codon) for a particular amino acid; and 'wobble' base-pairing, i.e. permitting non-standard base-pairing at the 3rd anti-codon position. Lineage: Bacteria; Bacillati; Bacillota; Bacilli; Lactobacillales; Lactobacillaceae. The record is from RNAcentral.